This 496-nucleotide ribosomal RNA is filed under the name uncultured bacterium. Its description in RNAcentral is "partial 16S ribosomal RNA". It matches the Rfam family "Bacterial small subunit ribosomal RNA", at positions 28 to 506 of the family's 1533-position model. The record is from RNAcentral.
GAUGAACGCUGGCGGCGUGCCUAAUACAUGCAAGUCGAGCGAACAGACGAGGAGCUUGCUCCUCUGACGUUAGCGGCGGACGGGUGAGUAACACGUGGAUAACCUACCUAUAAGACUGGGAUAACUUCGGGAAACCGGAGCUAAUACCGGAUAAUAUAUUUAACCGCAUGGUUCAAUAGUGAAAGACGGUUUUGCUGUCACUUAUAGAUGGAUCCGCGCUGCAGUGGUUAGUUGGUAAGGUAACGGCUUACCAAGGCAACGAUGCGUAGCCGACCUGAGAGGGGGAUGGGCCACUCUGGAACUGAGACGCGAUCCAGACUCUGAGGGAAGGCAGAGGUAGGGAAGGGACCGAAAUGGGGGAAAGCCUGACGGAGUAACGCCAGGUGAGUGAUGAGGGUCUUCGGAGCGUAAGACUCUGUUAGUAGGGAAGAACAAAUGUGUAAGUAACUAUGCACGUCUUGAGGGUACCGAAUCAGAAAGCCACGGCUAACUACGU